Long non-coding RNA from Polypterus senegalus (gray bichir), 210 nucleotides. RefSeq lists it as uncharacterized. NCBI's taxonomy places the organism in Eukaryota, Metazoa, Chordata, Cladistia, Polypteriformes, Polypteridae. The transcript has 3 exons. The record is from RefSeq and is a predicted model, not a curated record.
CCGGUCUUCAUUGAGAAUUACAAGAGUGUGUUCUUCAAGUGUACAGCGAUGAGCGAGCCGCUUUACCGCACUGUGCAGCUGCCUGUGAUGUUGGAGCAUAAGCGGACUCACCAACUGUUGAUGAGACUCACUACAUCAGAUCUUCAAGGAUGAAGCUUAAAAAAAACAUUAAGGAAUGACAUGCUGUCAGCAAAGAUUUCAGUCCCGCAA